Non-coding RNA from Pelobates cultripes (western spadefoot toad), 959 nucleotides. The record is from the annotation of a GenBank genome assembly. NCBI's taxonomy places the organism in Eukaryota, Metazoa, Chordata, Amphibia, Anura, Pelobatidae.
AUUUUUUUUUAUUUGCUGUGUUGAUCAUAUUCAUUUUGCAUUGUGUGUGUGUGUAUAUAUAUAUAAUAUAUAUUUUCACAAUGCUUUAUAACAUAUUAUUAAAAUUUAGCUUUUUAGCAUUCGCACUAUCUCCCACUAAUUCCAUGUUGGAAUCAGUGUAGGACCCACCAAUAUUGGGGUACUGUAAAGUAGUGUUGGUCCUAACACAACAUGGACAUAUGGUAGAACUGAAUCCCCAUAUGUUUCCUGAAAUAGGUUAUCUCAACUAGCCUAAAAACAUUUUUAAACUAUUUUUAUUUGUGCUCUGUUCCCUAAUCUCUAUUUAGCUAAAUAACUCCAGCAGCACAUAGCUUUAUAGAAGCAAUUAUUUUACCCAUCAUGUGUGGCUGGUUGUGGUUGUGGUCCUCUCGAUUUUUGAAUUUAAAAACGAACAAAAAAAUCAGUUAUUUACUUAUUACUGGUAUUUAUAAAGCGCCAACAGAUUCCGCAGUGCUGUACAAUUAGUGGAGAACAUACAAUAUACACAGACAAAUACAAAAGGUAGAGAGGGCCCUGCCCGCCAGUCGAGAUCUAGCCAUUUAAGCUCUUUUACACAAAGUGCAUAGCUAGAUUGCCCAUGAGCUUACAAUCUAAAGGAUACCGUGGGGAUUUGAGACGAGAGGUAGCAAAGGACAUUUGGAAGUGAAGGCUAAAUAAGUAAACAGAGUUGCAGCUAUUAGUAGAGUAUGUAAAUGCUCUUAUUGCCCAGGGAUAGGCAACCUUCAGCAUUCCAGAUGAUGUGAACUACAUCCCCCAUAAUACUCUUACACCCAUAAUGCUGGCAAAGCAUCAUGGGAGGUGUAGUCCAAAACAUCUGGAGUGCUGAAGAUUGCCGUUGCCUGGGCCCUAGUCCAUGGGUCCUCAAACUCUGGCCCCCCAGAUGUUGCUGAACUACAACUCCCAUGAUUCUUUGAAUUACA